GACAGAGGUGCCAAGCGUUUAGGCGGAAUCACUGGGCUUAAAGCGUGUGUAGGCGGGUGCCUAAGUACCUUGUGAAAUCCCCCGGCUCAACCGGGGAACUGCUGGGUAUACUGGGUGCCUUGGGUCAUCUAGGGGCUGCCGGAACAAAUGGUGGAGCGGUGAAAUGCGUAGAUAUCAUUCGGAACGCCAACGGCGAAAGCAGGCAGCUGGGGGAUGCACCGACGCUGAGACACGAAAGCCAGGGGAGCGAACGGG
Molecule: ribosomal RNA, 255 nt
Filed under: uncultured bacterium
Lineage: Bacteria
Description: partial 16S ribosomal RNA
Rfam family: Bacterial small subunit ribosomal RNA
Source: RNAcentral